RNAcentral lists this ribosomal RNA (495 nucleotides) under uncultured bacterium. RNAcentral describes it as "partial 16S ribosomal RNA". It matches the Rfam family "Bacterial small subunit ribosomal RNA", at positions 28 to 507 of the family's 1533-position model. The record is from RNAcentral.
GACGAACGCUGGCGGCGUGCCUAAUACAUGCAAGUAGAACGCUGAAGGAGGAGCUUGCUUCUCCGGAUGAGUUGCGAACGGGUGAGUAACGCGUAGGUAACCUGCCUGGUAGCGGGGGAUAACUAUUGGAAACGAUAGCUAAUACCGCAUAAGAGUAGAUGUUGCACGACAUUUGCUUAAAAGGUGCAAUUGCAUCACUACCAGAUGGACCUGCGUUGUAUUAGCUAGUUGGUGAGGUAACGGCUCACCAAGGCGACGAUACAUAGCCGACCUGAGAGGGUGAUCGGCCACACUGGGACUGAGACACGGCCCAGACUCCUACGGGAGGCAGCAGUAGGGAAUCUUCGGCAAUGGACGGAAGUCUGACCGAGCAACGCCGCGGGAGUGAAGAAGGUUUUCGGAUCGUAAAGCUCUGUUGUAAGAGAAGAACGAGUGUGAGAGUGGAAAGUUCACACUGUGACGGUAUCUUACCAGAAAGGGACGGCUAACUACGUG